UACGUAGGGACCGAGCGUUGUCCGGAAUCAUUGGGCGUAAAGAGCGUGUAGGCGGCCACUUAAGUCCUGCGUGAAAUCUUGCGGCUCAACCGCAAGCGGUCGUGGGAAACUGGGUGGCUAGAGUGCGGGAGAGGAGAGUGGAAUUCCUGGUGUAGCGGUGGAAUGCGCAGAUAUCAGGAAGAACACCCGUGGCGAAGGCGGUUCUCUGGGCAUUACCUGACGCUGAGGAGCGAAAGUGUGGGGAGCGAACAGG
RNAcentral lists this ribosomal RNA (253 nucleotides) under uncultured bacterium. RNAcentral describes it as "partial 16S ribosomal RNA". It matches the Rfam family "Bacterial small subunit ribosomal RNA", at positions 524 to 776 of the family's 1533-position model. The record is from RNAcentral.